AGUGAACGCUGGCGGUAGGCCUAACACAUGCAAGUCGAACGGCAGCACAGUAAGAGCUUGCUCUUACGGGUGGCGAGUGGCGGACGGGUGAGGAAUACAUCGGAAUCUACUUUUUCGUGGGGGAUAACGUAGGGAAACUUACGCUAAUACCGCAUACGACCUACGGGUGAAAGCAGGGGACCUUCGGACCUUGCGCGAUUGAAUGAGCCGAUGUCGGAUUAGCUAGUUGGCGGGGUAAAGGCCCACCAAGGCGACGAUACGUAGCUGGUCUGAGAGGAUGAUCGGCCACACUGGAACUGAGACACGGUCCAGACUCCUACGGGAGGCAGCAGUGGGGAAUAUUGGACAAUGGGCGCAAGCCUGAUCCAGCCAUACCGCGUGGGUGAAGAAGGCCUUCGGGUUGUAAAGCCCUUUUGUUGGGAAAGAAAAGCAGCAGGUUAAUACCCCGCUGUUCUGACGGUACCCAAAGAAUAAGCACCGGCUAACUUCGUG
RNAcentral lists this ribosomal RNA (492 nucleotides) under uncultured bacterium. RNAcentral describes it as "partial 16S ribosomal RNA". It matches the Rfam family "Bacterial small subunit ribosomal RNA", at positions 29 to 507 of the family's 1533-position model. The record is from RNAcentral.